Molecule: transfer RNA, 85 nt
Filed under: Geobacter sp. AOG1
Lineage: Bacteria; Pseudomonadati; Thermodesulfobacteriota; Desulfuromonadia; Geobacterales; Geobacteraceae
Description: tRNA-Leu
Rfam family: tRNA
About the family: Transfer RNA (tRNA) molecules are approximately 80 nucleotides in length.
Source: RNAcentral
GCGAGAGUGGCGGAACUGGCAGACGCACUGGACUUAGGAUCCAGCACCGCAAGGUGUAGGGGUUCAAAUCCCCUCUCUCGCACCA